GAUGAACGCUGGCGGCGUGCCUAAUACAUGCAAGUCGAGCGAACAGACGAGGAGCUUGCUCCUCUGACGUUAGCGGCGGACGGGUGAGUAACACGUGGAUAACCUACCUAUAAGACUGGGAUAACUUCGGGAAACCGGAGCUAAUACCGGAUAAUAUAUUGAACCGCAUGGUUCAAUAGUGAAAGACGGUUUUGCUGUCACUUAUAGAUGGAUCCGCGCCGCAUUAGCUAGUUGGUAAGGUAACGGCUUACCAAGGCAACGAUGCGUAGCCGACCUGAGAGGGUGAUCGGCCACACUGGAACUGAGACACGGUCCAGACUCCUACGGGAAGCAGCAGUAGGGAAUCUUCCGCAAUGGGCGAAAGCCUGACGGAGCAACGCCGCGUGAGUGAUGAAGGUCUUCGGAUCGUAAAACGCUGUUAUUAGGGAAGAACAAAUGUGUAAGUAACUAUGCACGUCUUGACGGUACCUAAUCAGAAAGCCACGGCUAACUACGU
RNAcentral lists this ribosomal RNA (496 nucleotides) under uncultured bacterium. Its description in RNAcentral is "partial 16S ribosomal RNA". It matches the Rfam family "Bacterial small subunit ribosomal RNA", at positions 28 to 506 of the family's 1533-position model. The record is from RNAcentral.